Triticum aestivum (bread wheat) is the source of this 2755-nucleotide RNA transcript. It is a transcript of the gene named pentatricopeptide repeat-containing protein At2g35030, mitochondrial, with no coding region annotated. The record is from RefSeq and is a predicted model, not a curated record. The transcript has 2 exons. Lineage: Eukaryota; Viridiplantae; Streptophyta; Magnoliopsida; Poales; Poaceae.
UCUCACACCACACAAGUCUCCCCCUUCUUUCUAAGCAUGGCAGCUUGGGCCGCGCUGCGCCGCCUCCGCUCACCGCGGCUCCGCCUCGCCUCCACCUUCACCCACCACGGCGCCGCCGCCGUCUCCGCCACCGACGCGUUCAUCCAUGUCCAAGACCCGAACCGCCGCAUCGCGGAGCUGGCCGCCGCGGGGCGCGUCCCCGACGCCCGCAGGCUGUUCGACCGGACGCCGGACCGGGACGUGGUGUCCUGGACGGCGAUGGUCGCGGCGUACGCGCGCCAGGGCCAGCUCCACGAGGCCAGCGCGCUGUUCCACCGCCCCGACGCGCGCCGGAACGUGGUCACCUGGACGGCGCUCCUCUCCGGCUACGCGCGGGCGCGCCGCGCCGACGAGGCCAGGGCGCUGUUCGACCGGAUGCCCGAGAGGAACGUCGUGUCGUGGAACACGAUGCUGGAGGCCUACGCCUCCGCCGGCCGCACGGGGGCCGCGUGCGCGCUGUUCGACAGCAUGCCCGUGAGGGACGCCGGCUCCUGGAACAUCCUUCUGGCCGCGCUGGUGCGGUCUGGGACCAUGGACGAGGCACGGAACCUGUUUGAGAGAAUGCCCGAGAGGAAUGUGAUGUCGUGGACGACGAUGGUCGCCGGCCUUGCACGGAGCGGAAGCGUGGACGAGGCUCGAGCGCUGUUUGAUGGCAUGCCGGAGAGGAAUGUCGUUUCCUGGAAUGCCAUGAUCUCUGGAUACGCCCGGAACCUCAGGAUCGACGAAGCUCUUGAUUUGUUCAUGAAUAUGCCCGAGAGGGACGUGGCUUCUUGGAACAUCAUGAUCACCGGUUUUAUCCAGAACAAAGAUUUGAAGAAGGCACAAGAACUCUUUGACGAGAUGCCUAAACGGAAUGUAGUCAGCUGGACUACUAUGAUGAAUGGUUGCUUGCAAGGUAAUGAGAGUGAAAUGGCACUGCAGGUAUUUAACGGUAUGCUCGUUGAUGGGAUCAGACCAAACCAGGUGACGUUUUUGGGUGCGGUUGAUGCGUGCAGCAAUAUCGCCGGACUCAGCGAAGGGCAGCAGGUGCAUCAGAUGAUAUGCAAAACACCAUUUCAGUUUGAUAAUUUUAUCGAGUCCACACUCAUGAAUUUAUAUGCCAAAUGUGGCGAAAUUAGAUUGGCAAGGAAGGUGUUUGAUCUCUCAGGGGAGAAGGACGUAAUAUCUUGGAAUGGCAUUAUUGCAGCAUAUGCACAUCAUGGGGCUGGUGUAGAAGCUAUAGCUUUGUAUGAAAAGAUGCAAGAAAAUGGGUAUAAGCCUAAUGAUGUCACAUACGUGGGAUUGCUCUCAGCAUGUAGCCACUCUGGUUUGGUCGACGAAGGGCUUAGGAUAUUUGAAUACAUGGCAAAGGAUAAGUCCAUUGCAGUGCGGGAUGAGCAUUACACUUGCUUGAUUGAUCUCUGUAGCCGAGCCGGGCGACUUGAUGAUGCCAAAAGAUUAAUCAACGGUCUUAAACUUAAGCCUACAUCCAGUACUGUAUGGAGUGCGCUUCUAGGUGGGUGUAACGCACAUGGAAAUGAAAGCAUCGGUGAUUUGGCAGCAAGAAAUCUCUUAGAAGCAGAGCCUGAUAAUGCUGGAACCUACACUCUCUUGUCUAACAUUUAUGCUUCUGCUGGUAAGUGGAAAGAAGCAGCAAAGAUUCGGUCUCAGAUGAAUGAUCGAGGACUAAAGAAACAGCCGGGAUGUAGUUGGAUUGAGCUGGCAAAUAAGGUGCAUGUAUUUGUAGCACGUGACAAGUCCCACAGUGAGUCUGAGUUGAUUUAUAGUCUGCUGCAAGAUAUUCAUCACAUGAUGAGGAUGGCUGGCAGUGAUCCCAGGGACCACAUGCAGCUUAUGGAUGAGGAUCUGGUGGAUCUUCAAGCAUAAUUUGAGAUAUAAGAAAGUAAAGUUCCAGGAUUUUGUCAGAGGGAGGCAUUUUGCACCACUAAAUCAGACAAUUGGCGUACAUUGUAGAGUUUAGACCUAUGGUGUUGGUGUUACCCCAGGCUAAGUUGGUCCCCAUCUUCGGAGCAUUAUAACUAGCAAACACCUGGGCUCUUGUUUGUUCAGAGUUCUGUAGAAUGUCAAUAUAUUCUUGAAGCUGGGUGACAGUCAAGGACCUUGCAGAAGUCUUGACCUUUAUCUCUGGUGUUUGAAUCUGAUUUCUCUGGUUCACUGGCCGAGGCUUUGCCAUGUUGUGCUUGCUAUUCCAGGUUGCAGGCAAGAACUUUGGGAUCACUCUCCCAAAAGGCAAUUUGCCUUGUGAACUCUGCCAUGUAUGUAUGUACAGAGGAAUUUCCUUUUGGUGUUGGAAUGGGAGGAAUCAGGAAUGGACAGCGUAUACGGUUUAGAACACUCGGACGGUACUGCAAAACUGUUUGUGCACACAGUUGAGCCGAUGCAUCGUGCAUUGUAAACUGUAAUAACCUUUCUUUGAGAAGCAAGUCCAUUGUAAUAGGUGUCGUGCUCGUAUGAAAGGAUCUGGACGAAGUGGCGUGGCCAAGAACAGUUAUGCUGAUUUGGUUGCACCAGAUAUGCCUGAGAUUCUUGGCACUUACAGUAGAUGCAAACUGUCGGGAUGGGGUUUUUUCUUUCGGGAAAAAAUUGUUGGGAUGAGUUAUAAGCAUCUUCAAUGGGAAAUCAAUGAGUUAUUGCUAACAAUGAACUCUCUUUUUUUUUCUGUUUGAGAAUGAACUCUGAUUGUUGGGGUAACCAGUUUUUUUGUACAUUCUGAGGC